Molecule: ribosomal RNA, 500 nt
Filed under: uncultured bacterium
Lineage: Bacteria
Description: partial 16S ribosomal RNA
Rfam family: Bacterial small subunit ribosomal RNA
Source: RNAcentral
AUUGAACGCUGGCGGCAUGCCUUACACAUGCAAGUCGAACGGCAGCACGGGAGCAAUCCUGGUGGCGAGUGGCGAACGGGUGAGUAAAGUAUCGGAACGUGCCCAGUCGUGGGGGAUAACGUAGCGAAAGUUACGCUAAUACCGCAUACGAUCUAUGGAUGAAAGCGGGGGAUCGCAAGACCUCGCGCGAUUGGAGCGGCCGAUAUCAGAUUAGGUAGUUGGUGGGGUAAAGGCUCACCAAGCCGACGAUCUGUAGCUGGUCGGGGAGGACGACCAGCCACACUGGGACUGAGACACGGCCCAGACGCCUACGGGAGGCAGCAGUGGGGAAUUUUGGACAAUGGGCGAAAGCCUGAUCCAGCCAUGCCGCGUGCAGGAUGAAGGCCUUCGGGUUGUAAACUGCUUUUGUACGGAACGAAAAGGUUUGGCCUAAUAAGCUGAGCUCAUGACGGUACCGUAAGAAUAAGCACCGGCUAACUACGUGCCAGCAGCCGCCGUAA